Molecule: ribosomal RNA, 325 nt
Filed under: uncultured eukaryote
Lineage: Eukaryota
Description: partial 18S ribosomal RNA
Rfam family: Eukaryotic small subunit ribosomal RNA
Source: RNAcentral
CCCUUAGAUGUCCUGGGCUGCACGCGCGCUACACUGAUGCAUUCAACGAGUUUUACCUUGGCCGAGAGGCCUGGGCAAUCUUUUAAACCUGCAUCGUGAUAGGGAUAGAUUAUUGCAAUUAUUAAUCUUGAACGAGGAAUUCCUAGUAAACGCAAAUCAUCAAUUUGCAUUGAUUACGUCCCUGCCCUUUGUACACACCGCCCGUCGCACCUACCGAUUGAAUGGUCCGGUGAAGCCUCGGGAUUGUGGCCAGUUCACUUUAUUGGGAGUUGGCUGUGAGAACUUGUCUAAACCUUAUCAUUUAGAGGAAGGUGAAGUCGUAACA